GUGGGUAUAACUCAGUCGGUUAGAGUGCCAGAAUGUGGCUCUGGAAACAUGGGUUCGAAUCCCAUUACUCGCC
This 73-nucleotide transfer RNA is filed under the name prasinophyte sp. MBIC10622. RNAcentral's name for it is "tRNA-His". It matches the Rfam family "tRNA". Rfam says of the family: Transfer RNA (tRNA) molecules are approximately 80 nucleotides in length. Lineage: Eukaryota; Viridiplantae; Chlorophyta. The record is from RNAcentral.